ACUCCUACGGGAGGCAGCAGUGGGGAAUAUUGCACAAUGGGCGCAAGCCUGAUGCAGNNNNNNCAUGGCCGCGUGUGUGAAGAAGGCCUUCGGGUUGUAAAGCACUUUCAGUCGUGAGGAAGGUAGUGUAGUUAAUAGCUGCAUUAUUUGACGUUAGCGACAGAAGAAGCACCGGCUAACUCCGUGCCAGCAGCCGCGGUAAUACGGAGGGUGCGAGCGUUAAUCGGAAUUACUGGGC
RNAcentral lists this ribosomal RNA (238 nucleotides) under uncultured bacterium. RNAcentral's name for it is "partial 16S ribosomal RNA". It matches the Rfam family "Bacterial small subunit ribosomal RNA", at positions 335 to 559 of the family's 1533-position model. The record is from RNAcentral.